RNAcentral lists this unclassified non-coding RNA (353 nucleotides) under soil metagenome. Its description in RNAcentral is "partial contains 5.8S ribosomal RNA, internal transcribed spacer 2, and large subunit ribosomal RNA". The stretch from base 1 to 120 matches the Rfam family "5.8S ribosomal RNA", at positions 35 to 154 of the family's 154-position model. The record is from RNAcentral.
GAUGAAGAACGCAGUGAAAUGCGAUAAGUAAUGUGAAUUGCAGAAUUCAGUGAAUCAUCGAAUCUUUGAACGCACAUUGCGCCCGCCAGUAUUCUGGCGGGCAUGCCUGUUCGAGCGUCAUUACAACCCUCAGGCCCCCGGGCCUGGCGUUGGGGAUCGGCGGAAGCCCCCUGCGGGCACAACGCCGUCCCCCAAAUACAGUGGCGGUCCCGCCGCAGCUUCCAUUGCGUAGUAGCUAACACCUCGCAACUGGAGAGCGGCGCGGCCACGCCGUAAAACACCCAACUUCUGAAUGUUGACCUCGAAUCAGGUAGGAAUAUCCGCUGAACUUAAGCAUAUCAAUAAGCGGAGGA